ACGAAGGUGGCAAGCGUUGUUCGGAUUUACUGGGCGUACAGGGAGCGUAGGCGGUUCGGUAAGCCCUCUGUGAAAUCUCCAGGCUUAACCUGGAACAGUCGGAGGGGACUGCCGGGCUAGAGGACGGGAGAGGGACGCAGAAUUCCAGGUGUAGCGGUGAAAUGCGUAGAUAUCUGGAGGAAUACCGGUGGCGAAGGCGGCAUCCUGGACCGACAUUGAUGCUGAGGAGCGAAAGCUAGGGGAGCAAACGGGA
RNAcentral lists this ribosomal RNA (253 nucleotides) under uncultured prokaryote. RNAcentral describes it as "partial 16S ribosomal RNA". It matches the Rfam family "Bacterial small subunit ribosomal RNA", at positions 525 to 777 of the family's 1533-position model. The record is from RNAcentral.